GAAAAUUUCCAUAAUAUUUAAGAAUGAGGAAAGAUCAUUGAAAUCUAGAUCUCUGAAAAGGCGGCCCUCCCUAUGACUGGCGUUUUCUGCGACAGCCCAGGAGCUUGAGCACGUGCACGGCAGUCUGUGCGUGGCAGUGGCGCAUGUGGUGGCGUGUGUGGUGUGUGUGCUUGGUGGCGUGUGCGUGGCGGCAUGUGAGUGGUGGCGUGUGAGUGGUGGCCGUGGCAGUGUGUGCAUGGUGGCAUGUGGUGGUGUGUGAGGCGUUGGCAUGAGUGCACACACACUGUUGCACAUCUCUGAAUGCGUUGUCUGCUGCAGGCUCAGGCCCGUUCCUUCCAGAGCCUUUCCCCACCUCCUGCUCUAGGCUUUGCUGGCUCCUGCCUCAAGCAUUCGGGAGUCAUCCAGUGGCCCUGACACGUUUAUGGGGCCACCUAGUGGCUUUAACCCACCUGAACCCACACCUCUGCCUGCACCCACCCCUUGGGCGCGGCCAAGGGCCACUGGUGACAGUGAAGUUCAACCACACUCCCAGGAGCCCUGUGUCAACCCAAACCGCCUACCUUCUGCGCAGCAUCUAUUCCGAGAACAAGAAAGAAGUUCUCCUGGCAACGGGACUCGCUCCAGAGGCGCUGAGAAGUAGACGUGGUGUGUAUG
Molecule: long non-coding RNA, 654 nt
Filed under: Homo sapiens (human)
Lineage: Eukaryota; Metazoa; Chordata; Mammalia; Primates; Hominidae
Description: HSALNT0216762
Source: RNAcentral